AUUUUCAUUCCAUAAAACAGAAUGAAAAUUAUAUGUUGCUCUUGUUCAGCACUUUAAGCUGUUCUUGCGUUUUUCCUCAGAUGAAAAUGUCCUUUAUGCAGACCUCAUCACAAAAAAUAGGAUGUUUUCUGCUGAAAGAUUUUGGGUGCCAAACUACAACCCAACACCUUCCCAAGAUUUCCAAGAAUUGCAAUUCUCAUGUGUUGCCCACACAUCUAAUACAUAAAAUUUUUUAAACUUUCAUGAGACGUUAUUGUCAUUUCUGACAAGGUCUUGACCAAACUGGAAAUGAUUCCUGCUCAAAAGUACAAUUUAUCAUUUCCUCAUGACAAAUGUGGCGAAGAGAACUAGAAACUUAUAAUGAACUACUUGCUCUAUGGUUUCGGACUGGUUUCCAUGACCCAUAUUUCCAUAAUUUAUGAUCUCUGAAGAUAAAUAUGUUUUCCUCAUCCACAAAAUGUAACAUCUUUUGCAAUUGUUGUGGACUUUGGCUGUACUUUUCCAUCUUCUUUCUGACUACUGAUGGAUUUAUACUUCCACUAUUUUGCUAUUGAACACAUAAUCAGGAAAAGAACUUGAAUGCAGUACUGUAAUAAUAUCACUGUAUUAUUUAUAUGAAAAUAAUUUGCUUGCUUUCUAGGGCUAAUGGAAAUCUUGUUUGAUUCUUAAAUUAUUAAAACUUACCUAUGCUGCCAAUUGUAAUGGUUUUGUGAUUUUUGUUGUUGGUAUUCCACAUCAUUACAUCAUGUAAGGUACGGGCAGUUAAAGAGUUAAUUCCUUGGUUACCACAAACUGCCUUUUUUGGUGUGGCCCUCUGAGGGGGAGGGGAGGAGGUGCACGCCCCAGGGGUCUUUGCGUGGGAGGGGGUGGUGAAGCCGCCUGGGAGACGCGGGGUCUGUUCCUUCCUGCCCGGCGGAGAAAGCAUGUGGUCCUCCUGCAGUUUACUGUGUAAGAUUUUCAGCCUGUAAACUCUCUGUUAUAAUUCUAUUAGUCUCAUUUUUGAUAUAUUUAGUAAAAUUAGUUGUUCCUCCUCAGAUUGGUGCCGCUGUUUUUUUUUUGUGUUAGAUCCGCCUAUGAGUCCCCUGCCUUUCCCCUCUUCCCUUUGUUUCCCCAGGGUGCGGGUCCGCGGCUUCUCUGCCGCUUUAGCUGCCAGACCGCCUGGGGCCGGCCCCUACCCACUGGCAAUUUUUUUUUCUUCCUCUUUUCUUGUUUUUUUUCUUUCGGGCCUGUCCUCCU
RNAcentral lists this long non-coding RNA (1236 nucleotides) under Numida meleagris (helmeted guineafowl). RNAcentral's name for it is "lncRNA (ENSNMEG00000010795.1)". Lineage: Eukaryota; Metazoa; Chordata; Aves; Galliformes; Numididae. The record is from RNAcentral.